GUGGGGAAUAUUGGACAAUGGGCGAAAGCCUGAUCCAGCAAUGCCGCGUGAGUGAUGAAGGCCUUAGGGUUGUAAAGCUCUUUUACCAGGGAUGAUAAUGACGGUACCCGGAGAAGAAGCUCCGGCUAACUUCGUGCCAGCAGCCGCGGUAAUACGAAGGGGGCUAGCGUUGUUCGGAAUUACUGGGCGUAAAGCGCACGUAGGCGGACAUUUAAGUCAGGGGUGAAAUCCCGGAGCUCAACUCCGGAACUGCCUUUGAUACUGGGUGUCUGGAGUAUGGAAGAGGUGAGUGGAAUUCCGAGUGUAGAGGUGAAAUUCGUAGAUAUUCGGAGGAACACCAGUGGCGAAGGCGGCUCACUGGUCCAUUACUGACGCUGAGGUGCGAAAGCGUGGGGAGCAAACAGGAUUAGAAACCCUGGUAGUCC
Molecule: ribosomal RNA, 425 nt
Filed under: uncultured bacterium
Lineage: Bacteria
Description: partial 16S ribosomal RNA
Rfam family: Bacterial small subunit ribosomal RNA
Source: RNAcentral